ACGGAGGGGGCUAGCGUUGUUCGGAAUUACUGGGCGUAAAGCGCACGUAGGCGGCUUUGUAAGUUAGAGGUGAAAGCCCGGGGCUCAACUCCGGAAUUGCCUUUAAGACUGCAUCGCUAGAAUUGUGGAGAGGUAAGUGGAAUUCCGAGUGUAGAGGUGAAAUUCGUAGAUAUUCGGAAGAACACCAGUGGCGAAGGCGGCUCACUGGCCCGUUACCGACGCUCAGGCGCGACAGCGUGGGGAGCAAACAGGA
This 253-nucleotide ribosomal RNA is filed under the name uncultured prokaryote. Its description in RNAcentral is "partial 16S ribosomal RNA". It matches the Rfam family "Bacterial small subunit ribosomal RNA", at positions 525 to 777 of the family's 1533-position model. The record is from RNAcentral.